RNAcentral lists this long non-coding RNA (230 nucleotides) under Lathyrus oleraceus (garden pea). RNAcentral's name for it is "Pisum sativum (pea) long non-coding RNA (PSAT_LNC010444)". Lineage: Eukaryota; Viridiplantae; Streptophyta; Magnoliopsida; Fabales; Fabaceae. The record is from RNAcentral.
CUCUGUGUGACUAUUGGUUCAUUUCCUUUUGAUUUUGACUGUUGACUUGUUUACUAAUGAGUUUGACUUUUGCAGGUGCUUUAGUUGCUUAAGUUCUUUGAACUUGCUUGCUUGCUUUGCUUUUUAGCAUUUGCUUUGAGGUAUAAUUACUUCUUCUUCAUGUAGUCUGGAGACCCGGUCUGUUAUUUGACCGGGCAAACUGUCUGAAGUCCUCCUUAAGAGGCAAUGCC